RNAcentral lists this ribosomal RNA (442 nucleotides) under uncultured bacterium. RNAcentral's name for it is "partial 16S ribosomal RNA". It matches the Rfam family "Bacterial small subunit ribosomal RNA", at positions 338 to 795 of the family's 1533-position model. The record is from RNAcentral.
CCUAGGGGGGGCAGCAGUGGGGAAUAUUGGGCAAUGGGCGCAAGCCUGACCCAGCAACGCCGCGUGAAGGAAGAAGGCUUUCGGGUUGUAAACUUCUUUUAAGAGGGAAGAGCAGAAGCCGGUACCUCUUGAAUAAGCCACGGCUAACUACGAGCCAGCAGCCGCGGUAAUACGUAGGUGGCAAGCGUUGUCCGGAUUUACUGGGUGUAAAGGGCGUGUAGCCGGGCUGACAAGUCAGAUGUGAAAUCCCGUGGCUCAACCACGGAAGUGCAUUUGAAACUGUCGGUCUUGAGUAUCGGAGAGGCAGGCGGAAUUCCUGGUGGAGCGGUGAAAGGCGUAGAUAGUAGGAGGAACACCAGUGGCGAAGGCGGCCUGCUGGACGACAACUGACGGUGAGGCGCGAAAGCGUGGGGAGCAAACAGGAUUAGAUACCCGGGUAGUC